AAAGUCGUAACAAGGUCUCCGUAGGUGAACCUGCGGAGGGAUCAUUAUUGAUGAUUAUAUCUCAAACAAACAAUCACAACAACAACAGAAAAAACUCUAUGAAUCAAAAAAGUGCUUGCCUGAUAAAAAUGGAUGGAUAUAUAUUAAAGAAAAAACUUUCAACAACGGAUCUCUUGGCUCUC
This 182-nucleotide unclassified non-coding RNA is filed under the name Ascomycota sp. RNAcentral describes it as "partial contains small subunit ribosomal RNA, internal transcribed spacer 1, and 5.8S ribosomal RNA". The stretch from base 1 to 47 matches the Rfam family "Eukaryotic small subunit ribosomal RNA", at positions 1785 to 1831 of the family's 1831-position model. The record is from RNAcentral. Lineage: Eukaryota; Fungi; Ascomycota.